This 989-nucleotide ribosomal RNA is filed under the name Arthrobacter dextranolyticus. RNAcentral describes it as "bacterial SSU rRNA". It matches the Rfam family "Bacterial small subunit ribosomal RNA", at positions 62 to 1062 of the family's 1533-position model. Lineage: Bacteria; Bacillati; Actinomycetota; Actinomycetes; Micrococcales; Micrococcaceae. The record is from RNAcentral.
UCGAACGAUGAACCGGUGCUUGCACUGGGGAUUAGUGGCGAACGGGUGAGUAACACGUGAGUAACCUGCCCUUGACUCUGGGAUAAGCCUGGGAAACUGGGUCUAAUACCGGAUAUGACCUUCCAUCGCAUGGUGGUUGGUGGAAAGCUUUUGUGGUUUUGGAUGGACUCGCGGCCUAUCAGCUUGUUGGUGGGGUAAUGGCCUACCAAGGCGACGACGGGUAGCCGGCCUGAGAGGGUGACCGGCCACACUGGGACUGAGACACGGCCCAGACUCCUACGGGAGGCAGCAGUGGGGAAUAUUGCACAAUGGGCGCAAGCCUGAUGCAGCGACGCCGCGUGAGGGAUGACGGCCUUCGGGUUGUAAACCUCUUUCAGUAGGGAAGAAGCGAAAGUGACGGUACCUGCAGAAGAAGCGCCGGCUAACUACGUGCCAGCAGCCGCGGUAAUACGUAGGGCGCAAGCGUUAUCCGGAAUUAUUGGGCGUAAAGAGCUCGUAGGCGGUUUGUCGCGUCUGCCGUGAAAGUCCGGGGCUCAACUCCGGAUCUGCGGUGGGUACGGGCAGACUAGAGUGAUGUAGGGGAGACUGGAAUUCCUGGUGUAGCGGUGAAAUGCGCAGAUAUCAGGAGGAACACCGAUGGCGAAGGCAGGUCUCUGGGCAUUAACUGACGCUGAGGAGCGAAAGCAUGGGGAGCGAACAGGAUUAGAUACCCUGGUAGUCCAUGCCGUAAACGUUGGGCACUAGGUGUGGGGGACAUUCCACGUUUUCCGCGCCGUAGCUAACGCAUUAAGUGCCCCGCCUGGGGAGUACGGCCGCAAGGCUAAAACUCAAAGGAAUUGACGGGGGCCCGCACAAGCGGCGGAGCAUGCGGAUUAAUUCGAUGCAACGCGAAGAACCUUACCAAGGCUUGACAUGAACCGGAUCGCUGCAGAAAUGUGGUUUCCCCUUUGGGGCUGGUUUACAGGUGGUGCAUGGUUGUCGUCAGCUCG